This 253-nucleotide ribosomal RNA is filed under the name uncultured bacterium. RNAcentral describes it as "partial 16S ribosomal RNA". It matches the Rfam family "Bacterial small subunit ribosomal RNA", at positions 524 to 776 of the family's 1533-position model. The record is from RNAcentral.
UACGGAGGGGGCUAGCGUUACUCGGAAUUACUGGGCGUAAAGCGUGCGUAGGUGGUUCGUUAAGUCUGAUGUGAAAGCCCUGGGCUCAACCUGGGAAUGGCAUUGGAUACUGGCGACCUAGAGUGCGGUAGAGGGUGGCGGAAUUCCCGGUGUAGCAGUGAAAUGCGUAGAUAUCGGGAGGAACAUCCGUGGCGAAGGCGGCCACCUGGACCAGCACUGACACUGAGGCACGAAAGCGUGGGGAGCAAACAGG